RNAcentral lists this ribosomal RNA (1461 nucleotides) under Halorubrum sp. CJ-2. RNAcentral's name for it is "bacterial SSU rRNA". It matches the Rfam family "Archaeal small subunit ribosomal RNA". RNAcentral also lists the same sequence under 2 other names. Lineage: Archaea; Methanobacteriati; Methanobacteriota; Halobacteria; Halobacteriales; Haloferacaceae. The record is from RNAcentral.
AUUUUGAUCCUGCCGGAGGCCAUUGCUAUUGGGAUCCGAUUUAGCCAUGCUAGUCGUACGAGUUCAGACUCGUGGCGAAUAGCUCAGUAACACGUGGCCAAACUACCCUUCGGAACACAAUACCCUCGGGAAACUGAGGCUAAUAGUGUAUACCACAUCACCACUGGAAUGAGUGAUGUGCCAAACGCUCCGGCGCCGAAGGAUGUGGCUGCGGCCGAUUAGGUAGACGGUGGGGUAACGGCCCACCGUGCCAAUAAUCGGUAUGGGUCAUGAGAGUGAGAACCCAGAGACGGAAUCUGAGACAAGAUUCCGGGCCCUACGGGGCGCAGCAGGCGCGAAACCUUUACACUGCACGACAGUGCGAUAGGGGGAUCCCAAGUGCACAGGCAUAGCGCCUGUGCUUUUCGGUACCGUAAGGUGGUACCAGAAUAAGGGCUGGGCAAGACCGGUGCCAGCCGCCGCGGUAAUACCGGCAGCCCAAGUGAUGGCCGAUCUUAUUGGGCCUAAAGCGUCCGUAGCUGGCCGCGCAAGUCCAUCGGGAAAUCCACCUGCUCAACAGGUGGGCGCCCGGUAGAAACUGCGUGGCUUGGGACCGGAAGGCGCGACGGGUACGUCCGGGGUAGGAGUGAAAUCCCGUAAUCCUGGACGGACCGCCGAUGGCGAAAGCACGUCGCGAGGACGGAUCCGACAGUGAGGGACGAAAGCCAGGGUCUCGAACCGGAUUAGAUACCCGGGUAGUCCUGGCCGUAAACAAUGUCUGCUAGGUGUGGCUCCCACUACGAGUGGGUGCUGUGCCGUAGGGAAGCCGCUAAGCAGACCGCCUGGGAAGUACGUCCGCAAGGAUGAAACUUAAAGGAAUUGGCGGGGGAGCACUACAACCGGAGGAGCCUGCGGUUUAAUUGGACUCAACGCCGGACAUCUCACCAGCAUCGACUGUAAUAAUGACGACCAGGUUGAUGACCUUGUCCGAGUUUCAGAGAGGAGGUGCAUGGCCGCCGUCAGCUCGUACCGUGAGGCGUCCUGUUAAGUCAGGCAACGAGCGAGACCCGCACCCUUACUUGCCAGCAGUACCGCGAGGUAGCUGGGGACAGUAGGAGGACCGCCGUGGCUAACACGGAGGAAGGAACGGGCAACGGUAGGUCAGUAUGCCCCGAAUGUGCUGGGCAACACGCGGGCUACAAUGGUCGAGACAAAGGGUUCCUACUCCGAAAGGAGACGGUAAUCUCAGAAACUCGAUCGUAGUUCGGAUUGUGGGCUGCAACUCGCCCACAUGAAGCUGGAUUCGGUAGUAAUCGCGUGUCACAAGCGCGCGGUGAAUACGUCCCUGCUCCUUGCACACACCGCCCGUCAAAGCACCCGAGUGAGGUCCGGAUGAGGCGUUCCACGAACGUCGAAUCUGGGCUUCGCAAGGGGGCUUAAGUCGUAACAAGGUAGCCGUAGGGGAAUCUGCGGCUGGAUAAU